Molecule: long non-coding RNA, 705 nt
Filed under: Physcomitrium patens
Lineage: Eukaryota; Viridiplantae; Streptophyta; Bryopsida; Funariales; Funariaceae
Description: long non-coding RNA (PPAT_LNC012067)
Source: RNAcentral
GGAUGAAGGCAAGGUAUAGAUGGAUGAAGGCUAAAAAUAAAGAUCUUAAUCCCUAUUGGUCGAAGGCCAUGACCAAUGGGCAUUCAGCAAGCUAUCUGCUACCAUAACAAAGGUUUUAGUAACUUCAAAAGAAGCAUUUGAGAACCAAAAGUAAGGGUUUUAAGGUUUAGAAUUUGGACUACAAUUUUUGUGAAAAUUUUAGAGGAUUUGGAGUCAAGAUGAUGAAAUUAUAGCCGUUUGAAGUUAAGGUAUUCUUUAAAGAUAUACUAUUGUUGUUUUGAGGAUAUGAGGAGUUUUGUGAUAGAAUUUAGAGAUCAAAAGAUGCAAUCGUAAGGAUGAUUUUAAGAUCUACAUCUUUUGCAAAAAAAAUUAUAUAUUUAGAAUUUGUAUGAAGAAAUUAUAGAGCAUUGAAGAUUGUACAUAUAAUUUAGAGGCAAUAAAUGAUUCGUUUUGUUGAUAGUAAUGUUUGGAGCUAUAGCUUGAGUUUGCGGAUGAAUUUUUGGCUAAUUUUUUUUGAAAGUAUGUGUUAUUAAGUUAAAAAGAUAUACAUCAAAUAUUUAAUGGUAUUUUAUUACUUAUUUUGUGAAAUAUAAAGAAGUUUGUACAUAGAUAUAUGUAAGCAAGGAUUUGAAGCUAAUAUUAGGAUUUUGGCAAUAUCUCAAGAUCCAUAACAAAUUUGUAGUUGAAAUUUGUUGUUGUAGUUUU